UUACAUGAGAAGGUUAUUUGCC
This 22-nucleotide non-coding RNA is filed under the name Arabidopsis thaliana (thale cress). The record is from RNAcentral. Lineage: Eukaryota; Viridiplantae; Streptophyta; Magnoliopsida; Brassicales; Brassicaceae.